This 460-nucleotide ribosomal RNA is filed under the name uncultured bacterium. RNAcentral describes it as "partial 16S ribosomal RNA". It matches the Rfam family "Bacterial small subunit ribosomal RNA", at positions 338 to 795 of the family's 1533-position model. The record is from RNAcentral.
CCUACGGGAGGCAGCAGUGAGGAAUAUUGGUCAAUGGACGCAAGUCUGAACCAGCCAUGCCGCGUGCAGGAUGACGGCUCUAUGAGUUGUAAACUGCUUUUGUACGAGGGUAAACCCCGAUACGUGUAUCGGGUUGAAAGUAUCUUACGAAUAAGGAUCGGCUAACUCCGUGCCAGCAGCCGCGGUAAUACGGAGGAUCCGAGCGUUAUCCGGAUUUAUUGGGUUUAAAGGGUGCGUAGGCGGCUUGUUAAGUUAGGGGGGAAAUGCCGGGGCUCAACCCCGACACUGCCUCUGAUACUGGUGGGCUAGAGAAGAGUUGCGGUAGGCGGAAUGUAUGGUGUAGCGGUGAAAUGCUUAGAGAUCAUACAGAACACCGAUUGCGAAGGCAGCUUACCGAACUAUAUCUGACGUUGAGGCACGAAAGCGUGGGUAGCAAACAGGAUUAGAUACCCUUGUAGUC